GUACAACAUUGCCAAAUGUCAUGCCGAAAACAGGAAAGCUUUCCUGGGCCCUGGAUGUAAAGGCCAGGGAGCAACGCAAGGAGAAGUCUGCAAGGAAAAUUACAGCAACACAGAAGCCUGUGCUGGCCUGGUGCAAUCCCUUCUGCAGUUCUUACAGGAAGCAAAAGAAAUAGCAGUCCAGCAGUGGGCCUGGCCUCCACGCCACACCUCCUUCCACGUCUGCAGUUGGAGCAGGAAGGGCAGUGGUGGGGCCGACUCCCUGACAGGGAUCAGAACAGUACAUUUCAAGAACAAAGCCUGUGCCGUUUACCUGCAGAUCAAAGUUGGCUCUUAAUAAGAUGUGUGUCGGAGGGGGCAGAGAGAGGACUGUUUCCCUUUAUUCCAUUAAAAAGGGAUUAUGAGGUGACUGACCAGCAUCAUGAAAAUAUGCUGCAAUAUCCUCAUCUUAAAAAGUGAAGAUAAUAAAGAAAAAAAAAACUUUUUAUGGAUCCAAGGCUGGUGUUCAGCUGGAACACACCAGAACUACCAUCCUGACUGUUAAAAUAUUGAAACACUUCUGGACCUGGUGAUGAGAAAGACUCAAGACAAUAAUGAGCUGCACCAUCUUUCACCUCCUAUGCUCAUCCCUGAUGCCCGCCUCCAUCACAGGAAGAUCUGUCUCUUGACGAAUAUCUGUCGAUUAGUCCCUGAAGAGCGAGACAAAGAAGGCUGAGGUAGAAGGCCCUGCAUACAUAAAGGAUCGUGAGAAGUUCAAACAGGACACAUGGAGAACCUGAAGGAUGGGGCUCUAACAGUCCCAGGUGGAUCUCUGGCUCCUCAGCGAUGGACAUUUAGCCAUUGCCGGUGAAGGUGUAGGAUAGUGACUGGGCCCUGGGGCAGCCAACCUGGUUCCACUGCACAGGUCUUUGGUGCGCUGGGGUUCCCAGGGACUGUGCUUGACUGUGUCCCCCGGUCGCCUGCCCCAAUGGCCAGGGAGUCCUUCUUGCUGUGUCAGCAAGGAGAUCUCUGACUCUCCCUUUAACACCAGGCUGCCUCAACACCAUGGCAUCAGAGCAUCCUGAAAGAUCCCAAGAGCUAUUCCAGUUCAUCCCUCUGCUUCUGAAAAGGAUUUUUCCUAAGAAAAGAUUUCUCCAACUCCUUCAGCCUCCCGUUCCAAUGUCAUAUCAUCCUUUCCGUGAAGAUACACUUACUCAAAUCUGAUAGAAACCCUUCAUGCUAAAAAGGCCUGAAUUCUCAGUUGUGUUUUCAUGUGUGGUGGAACAGUAGUCAGCUCUGAGGAUACUGCCUCAGACACCUGUGACUCAGCCACACUUAGUCCCCGGAGUCAGCAUUUGCCUCCUGGCUCUACUCCUUGUGAGCAUAGUGAUAUUAGGCUAAUUACUCAAACUUUCAGGUUCUCACCUGUAAAAUGGGCACAAUGAUAGGCCUUACGUGUGAAUUCAUUUUGAGGAUUAAAUAUAGAUAAAAGGCUUCAUACAGUGCCUAGCUCAUCAUAAAUGCUUACCAAAUUUUAGCUUAAAAAAUAAAGUGAAAAAAAUGCCUAAUUUCAUCUGCAUCUGAGGUUAAUUUGUACACAAUUUAGAGACUAACAAACCUCUGGUCAACAUUGCCAGGGAGAACCAAAAAAAGCAAAUGCCUAAUAGUAAUUUAAAAAAAGCAAAUAGUAAUUACACUUUUAGUUUUCUUAUUUUCUACCACUUUGCAGAAGAGUAGAACAUUCACUCUUAAGUGGCGGUUAUAUAUCAGUUAUAAAAGUGUUAAAUCCGUGAAGGCAAAGAAAAAAGAAGAAAGAGACAGGAACCGUCCUGCUGUUGCCAUGGUAACGAGGCAGGUUACCUGGACAAAGAUUUUGGAAAUCUCUUAAAAGAAUAGCCAGAGAUGUUUCUGUCUAUUUUGGGAAGGACAAAGUCUUCCUUUAUCCUCCGCUAAAGACACACAACCACUUGUUUGCUGAAUAUCUCCCAAUUAACUCAGGGCUUGAUCUGAGAGGAGGCAGGAUGUCAUGAGCAGGCAGGUGGCGGAAUGGAAAGGAUCUUGGCAGGGGGCUGCAAGGUAAAGGCAAAUAUCAGUGGAAAAUGCAAGAUCAAACUGCCCAGGAUGGCUAUUGUUUCAUUUAAAAUGUCCAAAGAGCGUUCAUUAAAACAUCAUUCUCACACAGGAAGACCCCCAACUCGUACAGAUUAAGUUUACAAGAAAUUGAAUCCUUAACCAAUAACACUUCCAUUUUUAUUAACAUUACUGACACGAAGUGAUUAAAAACUCUGGUGGGCAAGACUUUCUCUGAAAGUUAUUAUUUAUAUGUAAAGGAAUAAAGAGC
Molecule: long non-coding RNA, 2317 nt
Filed under: Equus caballus (horse)
Lineage: Eukaryota; Metazoa; Chordata; Mammalia; Perissodactyla; Equidae
Description: lncRNA (ENSECAG00000056270.1)
Source: RNAcentral